Molecule: ribosomal RNA, 507 nt
Filed under: Arthrolips sp. CO952
Lineage: Eukaryota; Metazoa; Arthropoda; Insecta; Coleoptera; Corylophidae
Description: partial 16S ribosomal RNA
Rfam family: Archaeal large subunit ribosomal RNA (bases 380-507)
Source: RNAcentral
GUCUUUUUGAGAAUAAUUAAAAGUCUAACCUGCUCAAUGAAUUUUUAAAUAGCUGCGGUAUUUUGACCGUACAAAGGUAGCAUAAUCAAUAGUUUUUUAAUUGAAAACUGGAAUGAAGGGUUGAAUAAAAAAAUAACUGUCUCAAUUGAAUUUAAUUAAAAUUUUAUUUUUAAGUUCAAAAGCUUAAAUUUAUUUUAAAGACGAGAAGACCCUAUAGAGUUUUAUUAAAAAAAUGUAUUUUUAAUUAAGAAUUUAUAAAUUUUGUGUUUUUUUAAUUUGGUUGGGGUGAUUGAUAAAUUUAGAAAACUUUAUUUAAUCAACACAAAAAUAUUUGUUUUUUUGAUCCAAUUUUUUGAUUAUAAGAUUAAAUUACCUUAGGGAUAACAGCGUUAUUUAUUUAGAGAGUUCAAAUCGAAAAAUAAGUUUGCGACCUCGAUGUUGGAUUAAAAUUUAAUUUUUGGCGUAGAAGCUGGAAUUUUAGGWCUGUUCGACCUUUAMAAUUUUACA